UACGGAGGGAGCUAGCGUUGUUCGGAAUUACUGGGCGUAAAGCGCACGUAGGCGGCUUUUUAAGUCAGGGGUGAAAUCCCGGGGCUCAACCCCGGAACUGCCCUUGAAACUGGAGAGCUAGAAUCUUUGGAGAGGCGAGUGGAAUUCCGAGUGUAGAGGUGAAAUUCGUAGAUAUUCGGAAGAACACCAGUGGCGAAGGCGACUCGCUGGACAAGUAUUGACGCUGAGGUGCGAAAGCGUGGGGAGCAAACAGG
Molecule: ribosomal RNA, 254 nt
Filed under: uncultured bacterium
Lineage: Bacteria
Description: partial 16S ribosomal RNA
Rfam family: Bacterial small subunit ribosomal RNA
Source: RNAcentral